RNAcentral lists this unclassified non-coding RNA (358 nucleotides) under soil metagenome. RNAcentral describes it as "partial contains 5.8S ribosomal RNA, internal transcribed spacer 2, and large subunit ribosomal RNA". The stretch from base 1 to 120 matches the Rfam family "5.8S ribosomal RNA", at positions 35 to 154 of the family's 154-position model. The record is from RNAcentral.
GAUGAAGAACGUAGCGAAAUGCGAUAAGUAAUGUGAAUUGCAGAAUUCAGUGAAUCAUCGAAUCUUUGAACGCACAUUGCGCCCGUCAGUAUUCUGGCGGGCAUGCCUGUUCGAGCGUCAUUACGCCCCUCAAGUCCCCUGUGGACUUGGUGUUGGGGAUCGGCAAGGCUGGUUUUCCAGCACAGCCGUCCCUUAAAUUAAUUGGCGGUCUCGCCGUGGCCCUCCUCUGCGCAGUAGUAAAACACUCGCAACAGGAGCCCGGCGCGGUCCACUGCCGUAAAACCCCCCAACUUUUUAUAGUUGACCUCGAAUCAGGUAGGACUACCCGCUGAACUUAAGCAUAUCAAUAAGCGGAGGA